This 171-nucleotide unclassified non-coding RNA is filed under the name soil metagenome. RNAcentral describes it as "partial internal transcribed spacer 1". The record is from RNAcentral.
CAGAGUUGCAAAACUCCCAACCAUUGUGAACCUACCUCACCGUUGCUUCGGCGGGUGGCCCCGGGCAACCCGGAGCCGCGCCGGCCCCGCUCCCGGGGCCCGGCAAACCCGUCAGAAGACCGAAACUCUUCGUCAUCAGUGGCCUCUCUGAGUAACUUAUACAAUAAGUCA